RNAcentral lists this ribosomal RNA (429 nucleotides) under Bacteroidota bacterium. RNAcentral's name for it is "Bacteroidetes bacterium partial 16S ribosomal RNA". It matches the Rfam family "Bacterial small subunit ribosomal RNA", at positions 355 to 776 of the family's 1533-position model. Lineage: Bacteria; Pseudomonadati; Bacteroidota. The record is from RNAcentral.
UAGGGAAUCUUCCGCAAUGGACGCAAGUCUGACGGAGCAACGCCGCGUGAGUGAAGAAGGAUUUCGGUUCGUAAAACUCUGUUGUUAGAGAAGAACAGCGCAUAGAGUAACUGUUAUGCGUGUGACGGUAUCUAACCAGAAAGCCACGGCUAACUACGUGCCAGCAGCCGCGGUAAUACGUAGGUGGCAAGCGUUGUCCGGAUUUAUUGGGCGUAAAGCGAGCGCAGGCGGUCAAUUAAGUCUGAUGUGAAAGCCCCCGGCUCAACCGGGGAGGGUCAUUGGAAACUGGUUGACUUGAGUGCAGAAGAGGAGAGUGGAAGUCCAUGUGUAGCGGUGAAAUGCGUAGAUAUAUGGAGGAACACCAGUGGCGAAGGCGACUCUCUGGUAUGUAACUGACGCAGAGGCUCGAAAGCGUGGGUAGCAAACAGG